GACGAACGCUGGCGGCGUGCUUAACACAUGCAAGUCGAACGGAAAGGCCCUGCUUUUGUGGGGUGCUCGAGUGGCGAACGGGUGAGUAACACGUGAGUAACCUGCCCUUGACUUUGGGAUAACUUCAGGAAACUGGGGCUAAUACCGGAUAGGAGCUCCUGCUGCAUGGUGGGGGUUGGAAAGUUUCGGCGGUUGGGGAUGGACUCGCGGCUUAUCAGCUUGUUGGUGGGGUAGUGGCUUACCAAGACUUUGACGGGUAGCCGGCCUGAGAGGGUGACCGGCCACAUUGGGACUGAGAUACGGCCCAGACUCCUACGGGAGGCAGCGGUGGGGAAUAUUGCACAAUGGGCGGAAGCCUGAUGCAGCAACGCCGCGUGCGGGAUGACGGCCUUCGGGUUGUAAACCGCUUUCGCCUGUGACGAAGCGUGAGUGACGGUAAUGGGUAAAGAAGCACCGGCUAACUACGUG
RNAcentral lists this ribosomal RNA (468 nucleotides) under uncultured bacterium. Its description in RNAcentral is "partial 16S ribosomal RNA". It matches the Rfam family "Bacterial small subunit ribosomal RNA", at positions 28 to 507 of the family's 1533-position model. The record is from RNAcentral.